RNAcentral lists this ribosomal RNA (117 nucleotides) under Danio rerio (zebrafish). The record is from RNAcentral. Lineage: Eukaryota; Metazoa; Chordata; Actinopteri; Cypriniformes; Danionidae.
AACAAGUUUCAUGUCACCCUGCAGCCCACGACCGGUUACUAACUGAAGCUAAGCAGGGCUGAGCCUGGUCAGUAACUGGAUGGGAGACCACUAGGGAACACUAGGUUGCUGUUGGAA